GAUGAACGCUAGCGGCAGGCUUAAUACAUGCAAGUCGUGGGGCAGCAGGACUGUAGCACUACAGUUGCUGGCGACCGGCAAACGGGUGCGGAACACGUACGCAACUUACCCUGAACUGGGGGAUAGCCCGGGGAAACCCGGAUUAAUACCCCGUAAUAUAAUGGAGUGGCAUCACUUUAUUAUUAAAGCUCCGGCGGUUCGGGAUGGGCGUGCGGCUGAUUAGGUAGUUGGUUGAGGUAACGGCUCACCAAGCCUACGAUCAGUAACUGGUGUGAGAGCACGACCAGUCACACGGGCACUGAGACACGGGCCCGACUCCUACGGGAGGCAGCAGUAAGGAAUAUUGGGCAAUGGAGGCAACUCUGACCCAGCCAUGCCGCGUGGAGGAUGAAGGCCCUCUGGGUUGUAAACUUCUUUUAUGGGGGACGAAACCUGUGUAUUCUUACGCAGUUGACGGUACCCUAGGAAUAAGCACCGGCUAACUCCGUG
RNAcentral lists this ribosomal RNA (489 nucleotides) under uncultured bacterium. Its description in RNAcentral is "partial 16S ribosomal RNA". It matches the Rfam family "Bacterial small subunit ribosomal RNA", at positions 28 to 507 of the family's 1533-position model. The record is from RNAcentral.